UACGUAGGGGGCUAGCGUUGCUCGGAAUCACUGGGCGUAAAGCGCACGUAGGCGGACUCUUAAGUCAGGGGUGAAAUCCUGGAGCUCAACUCCAGAACUGCCUUUGAUACUGGGAGUCUCGAGUUCGGGAGAGGUGAGUGGAACUGCGAGUGUAGAGGUGAAAUUCGUAGAUAUUCGCAAGAACACCAGUGGCGAAGGCGGCUCACUGGCCCGAUACUGACGCUGAGGUGCGAAAGCGUGGGGAGCAAACAGG
Molecule: ribosomal RNA, 253 nt
Filed under: uncultured bacterium
Lineage: Bacteria
Description: partial 16S ribosomal RNA
Rfam family: Bacterial small subunit ribosomal RNA
Source: RNAcentral